AGCAUGCAAGUCGAACGGUAGAGUUGCUUUUGUAACUUGAGAGUGGCGAACGGGUGAGUAACACGUAGAUGAUCUGCCUUUAAGUUGGGGAUAGCCCAUAGAAAUAUGGGGUAAUACCGAAUAAUGCCUUAGCACUGUGGUGUUUUGGAGAAAGGGGCCUUGGCCUUGCUUUUAGAUGAGUCUGCGGCUUAUUAUGUUUGUUGGUGGGGUAAAGGCCUACCAAGGCGACGAUAAGUAGCCGGCCUGAGAGGGUGACCGGCCACAUUGGGACUGAGACACGGCCCAAACUCCUACGGGAGGCAGCAGCUAAGAAUCUUCCGCAAUGGGCGCAAGCCUGACGGAGCGACGCCGCGUGGACGAAGAAUGCCGAGAGGUUGUAAAGUCCUUUUAUAUACGAAGAAUAAUACCCUUAGGUAAUGAUGGGUAGAUGACGUUAGUAUAUGAAUAAGCUCCGGCCAAUUACGUGCCAGCAGCCGCGGUAACACGUAAGGAGCGAGCGUUGUUCGGAAUUAUUGGGCGUAAAGGGCAUGUAGGCGGUUAUGUAAGUCUGAUGUGAAAUACUAUAGCUUAACUAUAGAAACGCAUUGGAAACUGUAUGACUUGAAUCAGUGAGGGGUAACCGGAAUUCCUAGUGUAGGGGUGAUAUCUGUUGAUAUUAGGAAGAACACCGAUGGCGAAGGCAGGUUACUGGUACAUGAUUGACGCUGAGAUGCGAAAGCGUAGGUAGCGAACAGGAUUAGAUACCCUGGUAGUCUACGCUGUAAACGAUGUGCACUUGGUGUUGGGGUGUCUAAGCCUCAGUGCCGAAGCUAACGCAUUAAGUGCACCGCCUGGGGAGUAUGCCGGCAACGGUGAAACUCAAAUGAAUUGACGG
RNAcentral lists this ribosomal RNA (874 nucleotides) under uncultured Spirochaetota bacterium. Its description in RNAcentral is "bacterial SSU rRNA". It matches the Rfam family "Bacterial small subunit ribosomal RNA", at positions 52 to 916 of the family's 1533-position model. The record is from RNAcentral. Lineage: Bacteria; Pseudomonadati; Spirochaetota.